ACUGAGAAUAGGAGUAUUUCAAACUCCUGAUACAGUGAGUAACCUUAUCAUCAUCUUGAUUAUCGGAAGUGAAUUUUAAUUCGUUUUUGUGAUUUUAUGGAAAAUGAGUUUAAAUGGUAAAUCUUUAUGUUUUAUAAGCAAAAUGUGAUUAAAUGAAAUGAUUUUAUAAAUUGUCUUGAAAUUGAAUGAUGGCUUUGAAAAUAGAGUAAUUGGAGACCACUUGAUGUGUUGUAAAUUUAUGGUUCUAAUUGAUUAGCUUAUGGCAAUAUUGGCAUGACUGAUUGAAUUGGUAAAUGUGCUGAAAAUGUAUGAACUGUUGAUUUGCCUUGAGAGACUGUAAAAUAAAAUAAUUGCCAUGUCAUGCUAUCGCAAAUUUUAUUGUAUGGUGGGUUUAGCUUACUGCAGUGGGCGAGUUUCUGUGGACUAGCCUAUUAGAAGGGCACGGUAAACCCCUUUAUAUUUUACCUCAGUUGGAGAGGCUAGUAGGGUAACUCCCGAGGUACAAUUUUAGAGUUCACUUCACGCCAAACCACCACGUGAGGGUGAACUCGGCCAACGCCAAGGAACGGCUAUGUUUUCAAAAUAAAAACAUGAUUUAUGCAUACAUAACUUGUUAACAGCCAUGGCGGACUCGGUUUGGGAUAGCCCUCGGCCAAAGUAUCCCUGAUAACUGAGUAUGAGAAUGAUUUUUUGGCACGAGCCAAGUUUUUCAGAAAUUCAUAAGCCAUGUUGAUUACUCGAUUUAAAUGAAUUAAUUUUAUUUGGUUGAAAUGAGUUGAAAGGUGAUAAAUUACAGUAUGAUGAUUUAUUUCAAUCGUCUUCAUUUACUCGACUUUAGAUAUUUUGGAUGAUGUUUGUUUACUCAUUGGGAUUAUAUAAUCUCACCACCCUCCUUUCCACCCUUUUCAGGCUCAAGAUAGUCGGUAGAUAGCUCAUUUCGUUGAGGGCUACAAUUGGACUUGCAUCCUCAAAAACUGUAGGUUUAACGCUUUUGAUACUUUUGGUCGUUCGUGGGCCCACGUGUCAUUGUAAAUUAAAUCUUAUGCUUUGGUUAUCUGUAUUACAGUAUGUAUGAAUUUAUUUAACUUUUACACUACAAAAAUUAUUUAUCGGUAACUUUAUAAAUAUUGUUUUAUAAGAAAAUAGAAUAUUUUAUUGAAUAUUUUAAUUA
This 1171-nucleotide long non-coding RNA is filed under the name Theobroma cacao (cacao). Its description in RNAcentral is "long non-coding RNA (TCAC_LNC003810)". Lineage: Eukaryota; Viridiplantae; Streptophyta; Magnoliopsida; Malvales; Malvaceae. The record is from RNAcentral.